CAUAGAACAAUUGAACUGCACCCAGCAGCCUCAGAGAGAGAGAGGAAUAAAUUGACUGAAGUGAAACAGAAUCCAACUAUUGAAAAUAUAAUGUUGGAGAUGGAAUGAACAAUGAAGAGGAAAGUCCGAGAAGCAAGACUCAGUCAAGUGGCAGGUGGAAUGGCAAAAAAAGAAUUUGAAUAUGGAAUAGUAUAAGGUUCAAGGCUCUCUUAACAUCAUGGACAAAGAAAAGACAAAUUCCUCUCCAAAGUAUUCAUCACCCGGACUUAGAGUGAUAUCGCCAUUUCUUCACCAUCCCUCCCUAAUAGCACCAUGAGUGUACAUAUGCCAAAUAUACAGCAGCAGUUCAAAAAGGCAGUUCACGGCCAACUUCACAAGAACAGUUAGGGAAAAGCCAAGCCCACAUUCCCUCAAAAAACAAAGAAAAAAAGGCAUGUAUUGUGCAUUUUCUCAAUCACUUCCUCAAUAAUGGGGGUGCCUAGUACACCAGUGCAAAAAAUAAAGCUAAAGAACAUGCAGGAAGUGAACGGACUCAUAGCAAAUUUGUGGAUGACACAAACGUAAGUGGGAGUGAAUAUGCUGAUGAUGAUACACAGUCUUCAAAGGGAAGUAAACAGAUUAAGCAACAUAAUUUGGGGAAAACUGCAAUGUUACACACUUUGGCAAGAGGAAUAGUGGAGCAGAAGGCUACUUAAUAAGAUAAAGGCUCAAGGUAUUAAACAUAGCGCAUUAGCAUGGAUAGGAGAUUGGCUAAUGGAGAAAAGAAAGGCAGUUGAGAUAAAGGGGGCAUUUUCAGGAUGUCAACUUGUAAAUCCUGAAGUGUCAAAAGUGUGGU
Molecule: non-coding RNA, 835 nt
Organism: Chiloscyllium plagiosum (whitespotted bambooshark)
Lineage: Eukaryota; Metazoa; Chordata; Chondrichthyes; Orectolobiformes; Hemiscylliidae
Source: RefSeq, a predicted model, not a curated record